This 497-nucleotide ribosomal RNA is filed under the name uncultured bacterium. RNAcentral describes it as "partial 16S ribosomal RNA". It matches the Rfam family "Bacterial small subunit ribosomal RNA", at positions 28 to 507 of the family's 1533-position model. The record is from RNAcentral.
GAUGAACGCUGGCGGCGUGCCUAAUACAUGCGAGUCAAGCGAACAGAUGAGGAGCUUGCUCCUCUGACGUUAGCGGCGGACGGGUGAGUAACACGUGGAUAACCUACCUAUAAGACUGGGAUAACUUCGGGAAACCGGAGCUAAUACCGGAUAAUAUAUUGAACCGCAUGGUUCAAUAGUGAAAGACGGUUUUGCUGUCACUUAUAGAUGGAUCCGCGCCGCAUUAGCUAGUUGGUAAGGUAACGGCUUACCAAGGCAACGAUGCGUAGCCGACCUGAGAGGGUGAUCGGCCACACUGGAACUGAGACACGGUCCAGACUCCUACGGGAGGCAGCAGUAGGGAAUCUUCCGCAAUGGGCGAAAGCCUGACGGAGCAACGCCGCGUGAGUGAUGAAGGUCUUCGGAUCGUAAAACUCUGUUAUUAGGGAAGAACAAAUGUGUAAGUAACUAUGCACGUCUUGACGGUACCUAAUCAGAAAGCCACGGCUAACUACGUG